UGUUUUUCUCUUUGUGAGACAAUUUUCCAUAUUUAGAUGAUUCUAUUAUCAAAUAAGAAAGUCGAGGUAAAGAAUGUUAAUGCUUUUGGCCUCUUAAGUAUGAAUCUGUAUUUAAAUGUUUUUCUUCAGAUUGAACUGAGAGACUGCAAUCCUCUCCAGCAUGAAAGUGGUUUUCAUCUUAAACUGAACUGACUGGUAAAGACGUGCUUGCAAUUUGGGUAAAUUCAUCUAUUAUUGCUAGCUGGAGUAGGUACUCUUUUAAUUUGCAGUCGUUCAAAAAAAAAAAAAUUCCUAGCAAUUAAAUGCAUUUACACAUUUAUUUCAUUUAAUAUCUAGUUCUGUGUUCUUCCAUAGAUUUCAAAUAUUAAGUAUUAUGCUUUUAGACUCAUAAACCAUGCUAGUUAACCAAGAAAUGAGCUGAUUAGAUGACUUACAUGUAACUAAAUUAUCUUUAAAAAAUGCAUCUUCGUAUCUCUAUAGUAAAACUUGUCUUCUCUGUCAAUUGCUUUGAUGAAUUGAAUGGUAGAUAUUCACUCACUGGUAUAUUUAAUAACAAGACUAAAACCUGAAAUCUAAGGGUUCAGAUAUGGCUUCAGGUGAGACAAAUCAAGAGUUCUGGAGUUAUUGGAAGCCCCAAAACAAAAAAAAUUACAGUCAAAGUACAUAUCGAUCUUAACGAAUUUCUUGAACAGGCAGAUCAAAAGCCAUUGAUGACUUCUGAUUAACCAGAGGUUGAAAGCGAAGCAGAGGGUGACCAUAGACUUCGUUUUUGGAGACUUUUAAAGUAGCUUUGGAAGUCAUGCUUGCAUAAUGCUGACAUACACAGAUAUAUAUAAUCAUAAAUAUAAAGUCAUAUAUGCAACUAAAGUUGGGCACCUAUAAAAACUAUCACUGGAUGAACUAUGUUGAUAUUGCCAUUCCUGGAGUUGAAAAUGCUACUCCAUCAUAUUACAAUUCUUUAGGACAAAUAUCUCCUUGUUCUUGUGUGCUUUUAAAUUUAUCUUUCAGUUUUUAAUUGUAGCUUGGAUUUUGUUUAGUAUGACAUCAAAACUGCAGGUGGUUCUAAAAUUAUCAAUCUCUGUUUCUCUUUUAAGGAUAUAACUGCUUAGCUCUUUCCUUGAAUGAUACAUGAACCUAAUCCAAGUACAUCAAAUAUCUUGCCUUGCUAGUCGAUUAAAAAAGGGUGUAGGGUUUGUGAUACCCAAGAAUGACAAUAUGGCCUAUCGGUCUAGAGCAAUCAUGUCCACUUAGGUCUGGAUAACCACCAAACCUUUUGAAAACCACUAUACUUGCUUCAUGGAUUUGGUGAAACUUUCUCAAGGAUAUCAAUCAUUAAGCAGUUCCUUUUUCUUUGCAUGUUAACAUAAAAGAUAGUCUUUGUACAGGGACCUAACCCAACUAAGUGACACAAAACUUCAUAUAUUAGGCUAUCACUUAGCAUUUUAGCUUCUGGGUUUCCUUUCCUAUAAUUUAUUUGAAUUGCAUGGUUUGCUUUGGUGACCGUUUGAUAUUGCAUCAAGUUUUUUUUUUUUUUUUUUUCUGUUCUUGGUUCUGUAAAGGCUUGUUUAUUGCUUGCACUAACUCGUGGGAUGUCACCAUCAUAUAGUGUGGCUGUCAGUUCAGCAUGCGAAGGCUGAUCGGGAUGCAGAGUCUGUGGAGUAGGCAGAAGACACUUACCCUGGUGAUAUUGUCCUAACUUCUCAAAUCACAUUUGAUACGUUGUGGUCAUUAAUAGUGUCGUAUUGGUUACAAUAUAAUGUCAUAGCAGAAUAUCCUUGUAGCAGUCAUGAAACUCUUACCAGGCUCUGUUUCUACCUCUAGGGAAAUAAGAGGAAAAAGUAGGAGAAUGAUUAGUAUGUUAGCAAAAAGCUGACACAUACCUUAGUAGUAGGAUUUAGAUAAUUGAUGAGGAUAUGAAUCUUUAAUUUUUGGUUGAACGGUUUCAUUAAUUUAAGUGUCAUCACAUGUAUUAGCAUUUCUCUUCUCCUUUAAGAUGGCAUCUAAAUUUGUCCAAAAUCAUUCCACAUUUCUACAUGAAAAUUUCAGGUCCCAGUAAGUGGCCAAUAUCUAAUCAGAUAAUGUUAAGAUUAGCUGUAUUGGCAUCAAAUACACGAGGAUCUGUUCAGUUACUGACUUAGCCGAGAUCACUUGAGAAUAUAGUGCAAUCCAAGUCAGCACGCAGAUCGUAAUGGCGCCCAUCAAGAUCGUAUCCUACAACCUUACCGGAGGAACUUCCUGCUUGAGGAAGCCGUUAGUAUAUAUAUAGAUUUGGAGGGGCAACAUCUCGAGUGGACCAAAUGAAGAUCUAAAGGUGGAACGGUCAAUCAAUCAAGAGUGGGAUAAGAGUAAUGGAAGCUGUUCUUUGGCUUAAUCAUGCAUUCCGGUCCAGAAGAGCACUGAUGGAAGCAGGGCAACGUCGAAUGGUUUAACAAACCGUUCACUUGUCAUUGCAAAGACUAUAUGCAGAUGUUAUCAACCCAUUUAAAAGUCCAACAUUAGAACUGUGCAUUCGUAAGCUUUAGUUGACUGCAACAUGUUUUAAUACGGCCGUGUGGGUUAGUUUUGUUUACACGCUUUGCCUAAUUAGAUUCGACACGACGGAAGUGGGCAACGAGAAGGAAGACCAAGUCCAAAACUAGCUCGGUCGUCAGAAGCUAUUUGGUCCCACGCAAUUACUGUAUUUAAGAAACACAGUAAGUUCCACGUAGGGUUUCGAUCUCUCCUUCCUCACUCGACUGUGAUUGGAUUUAUUUUAGCAUGAGCAUAGGAUGUAUUUUGGUGAUUACA
Musa acuminata AAA Group (dessert banana) is the source of this 2787-nucleotide long non-coding RNA. RefSeq lists it as uncharacterized. NCBI's taxonomy places the organism in Eukaryota, Viridiplantae, Streptophyta, Magnoliopsida, Zingiberales, Musaceae. The record is from RefSeq and is a predicted model, not a curated record. The transcript has 3 exons.